UGAGCUAAUCGGUCAGAAAUCAUGAAAACGUGCUUAACAAUUCCAAAGUCAA
This 52-nucleotide small RNA is filed under the name Caenorhabditis elegans. RNAcentral describes it as "Unclassified non-coding RNA H30A04.8". Lineage: Eukaryota; Metazoa; Nematoda; Chromadorea; Rhabditida; Rhabditidae. The record is from RNAcentral.